Molecule: ribosomal RNA, 404 nt
Filed under: bacterium
Lineage: Bacteria
Also listed under: 2 other names
Description: partial 16S ribosomal RNA
Rfam family: Bacterial small subunit ribosomal RNA
Source: RNAcentral
UGGGGAAUUUUGCGCAAUGGGGGCAACCCUGACGCAGCAACGCCGCGUGCGGGACGACGGCCUUCGGGUUGUAAACCGCUUUCAGCAGGGAAGAAAUUCGACGGUACCUGCAGAAGAAGCUCCGGCUAACUACGUGCCAGCAGCCGCGGUAAUACGUAGGGAGCGAGCGUUAUCCGGAUUCAUUGGGCGUAAAGAGCGCGUAGGCGGCCUCUCAAGCGGGAUCUCUAAUCCGAGGGCUCAACCCCCGGCCGGAUCCCGAACUGGGAGGCUCGAGUUCGGUAGAGGCAGGCGGAAUUCCCGGUGUAGCGGUGGAAUGCGCAGAUAUCGGGAAGAACACCGAUGGCGAAGGCAGCCUGCUGGGCCGCAACUGACGCUGAGGCGCGAAAGCUAGGGGAGCGAACAGG